Sorghum bicolor (sorghum) is the source of this 2527-nucleotide RNA transcript. It is a transcript of the gene named sterol 3-beta-glucosyltransferase UGT80A2-like, with no coding region annotated. The transcript is spliced from 14 exons. Lineage: Eukaryota; Viridiplantae; Streptophyta; Magnoliopsida; Poales; Poaceae. The record is from RefSeq and is a predicted model, not a curated record.
GGGGCCCACCGCCCAGCGCGCCAGCGAGGCAGAGGCAGAGGCAUCGCAUCGCAUCGGCCGCUUUGCUUUGCUCGCUCUCUUCUCGGCUUUCCGCCGCUCUCCGCUCGGCGGUGCAUGGCCAGCGAAUUCGGGAGUUCCAAUUCCUUCACCGUCUGUCUAUUCCCCCCCCAAACCCAAAAGCGAGAGGAGGCCCACCGCCGCCGCCGCCGCCGCCAAGCAAAGCCAACCCGGAGCAUAUUCACACGGAGGAGAGGAGGCGUGGAUCCGGAGGCUCCCCCCGCACCGCUUCUCCAGAAGCAGCUGACGCGGCGUGCCCGCGGGUCGGCGGUCGGUCGGUCGGUGUAUAAAUGGCGGCGGGAGAGGAGAGCGGCAGCGGCGUUGCGGGAGGGAGGGAAGGAGGAGAAGCGCCGGCGGCCUCUGCUCCCAACGGGGACCGCUCUGGGAAUAGCCCCCUCGCCACCGCGCCGUCGUCGUCCUCAGCAGAUGACAGAGGCUUCCAUAGAUCAAGCACCAUGCCGGGGGUGAUUAAGAAUGACGAAAUUACCAAUGAAACUGCUGGACCAUCAAAUUUGGAAAGGUCCAGAACUGAGCGUCGUCGGCAAAAUAAUCCAGCUGAUGAUCCUGCUAAACAGUUACUUGAUGAAAGGAUUCCAAUAAAAAAGAAGCUAAAAAUGCUAAAUCGGAUUGCUACAGUAAAAGAUGAUGGAACCGUGGUUGUUGAUGUGCCAAGUGGUCUGGAGGAACCAACUAUAGUUGGUGGAACUGAGGAUAUUUAUGCGGAAGCCACUGUUGAAGAAGCAUUAGAUGGAACAGAGAUACCAUACAGGCCUCCUAUGCAAAUAGUUAUACUUAUUGUGGGUACACGAGGAGAUGUGCAGCCAUUUGUUGCUAUAGGGAAACGCUUACAGGACUAUGGGCACCGUGUGAGAUUGGCUACUCAUGCCAACUUUAAGGAGUUUGUACUAACAGCUGGCCUGGAGUUUUUCCCGCUUGGUGGAGAUCCCAAAGUUCUUGCUGAAUAUAUGGUGAAGAAUAAAGGAUUCCUACCUUCGGGGCCAUCAGAAAUUCCUAUUCAAAGAAAACAGAUGAAAGACAUUAUUUUUUCUUUGCUGCCUGCAUGCAAGGAACCUGAUCCUGACACUGGCAUUCCUUUUAAAGUUGAUGCAAUUAUUGCGAACCCACCUGCGUAUGGACAUACACAUGUGGCAGAAGCGCUAAAAGUACCAAUUCAUAUAUUCUUUACCAUGCCAUGGACGCCAACUAGUGAAUUUCCUCAUCCUCUUUCUCGUGUGAAGCAGCCUGCUGGAUAUCGACUUUCAUAUCAAAUUGUGGACUCGAUGAUUUGGCUUGGAAUAAGGGAUAUGAUAAACGAGUUCAGAAAGAAAAAACUGAAGCUGCGUCCAGUAACAUAUCUAAGUGGUUCUCAGGGUUCUGGCAAUGACAUUCCUCAUGGAUACAUUUGGAGUCCUCAUCUAGUCCCGAAACCAAAAGACUGGGGCCCAAAGAUCGAUGUUGUUGGAUUUUGCUUCCUUGAUCUUGCUUCCAAUUACGUACCUCCUGAACCACUUGUGAAAUGGCUUGAAGCUGGUGACAAGCCCAUAUAUGUUGGUUUUGGUAGCCUUCCAGUUCAAGACCCACAAAAGAUGACUGAAAUUAUUGUCAAAGCACUGGAAAUUACUGGACAGAGAGGUAUCAUUAACAAAGGCUGGGGUGGCCUUGGAACCUUGGCAGAACCAAAAGAUUUUGUAUAUCUACUAGACAACUGCCCUCAUGACUGGCUUUUUCUGCAGUGCAAAGCAGUGGUGCAUCAUGGUGGUGCUGGAACGACAGCUGCAGGUCUUAAAGCAGCGUCUGUGAUUUGCAGUGUCCUACGACUAUUGUACCUUUCUUUGGUGACCAACCUUUCUGGGGGGAUCGGGUGCAUGCAAGAGGGCUAGGGCCUCCGCCUAUUCCAGUUGAUCAGUUUGGUUUGCAGAAGUUGGUCGAUGCUAUAAAAUUCAUGGUGAAGCCAGAGGUGAAAGACAAGGCUGUAGAGCUGUCGAAAGCCAUGGAAUCUGAAGACGGGGUGACAGGUGCUGUUAGGGCAUUCCUCAGACACCUGCCUUCAAAAACCGAGGAACAGAGUCUGCCGCAGUCGUCGGGCUUCCUGGAAUUCUUAGGCCCACUAAGUAAAUGUUUGGGAUGCUCUUAGUGCGCAACACAUCGAUGAUCACGGAUUUGAUUCCUUGAACGAAGCCCCGCCAAGGGUCAUGAUCAAAUCAACCCAUGGAAAGUAGCUCCGGGCCACGAGUGUGUUUCUCUUCUCUUCUCUUUUCUUUGUAUCCUUUUUCUUCCCUGCGGGUAUUUAUUUAUAGUGUGUAUGUAAAGAGUGCUUGUCUGGUGUGGAUGGCAUGCUCCCUGCGGUGCGUGUAAUUUUGAUGUGCAUGUUUGCCGUGCAUCACAGACGACGACGAUUUCACGUCUGCAUGGCCAACCCGUUUGUGUAUAUGAAAGAAGCUGAAGAGGUUCUUCGUUUUCUCUAUUGCAA